AUGGGUCGGGCCUGGUCCGCGGAUGCCCGAUGGAAGAUCUCCCAGGCUGGGCCUGUUCAAGCCGACGCUUGUGCGUGCUGCUGCUGCAGCUCCCUGGGUGGCCUCCAGAUCGAAGCUCGACAGCAAGAAUUGACUCAAAUCUUCAGAUCGAUGACCAGCGACUGCUGCCUCCCCGUAUUGCGCACGCUGCUCUCCACCGCCACUAGCUCUGCUGCUGCUCGCUUGUGCUUGUUAGCUUGUGUGCUGCAUCUCGUGCUCCCCAUGGUCGUUUGGUACUGCUGGCGUGCUACUACCUCUCUACUCGCUUGCUACUUCGCUGCUACUCUGCUGUUUUGGCCUCCCUGCCAUGAUUUUCUUCCGCUGCUAUCGCAUCUACUCUACCUAUUCUCUUGCCUCCAAGCUUCUUCGCCGCCGGUUUUCAUGGGCCAUGAUUCUUUAAGCAAUGCUUAUUCUCUUGACGUGCCAUCUUCUUUUGACAACCCAUCUUCUAUUGAUACUUCCAUUGUAUCUUCUAUCGAUGCGAUGUCUUCCUCUGAUGUGCCAUCUCUUCGUUAUCCCCUUUGGCGACUCGACAGGAAAUCUCUACUCCUAAUGGAGCAGUUGGUAGUCUCCGUUCCGGGUUUUUUUUCGUCCCACAUUCGUCGGGUUUUUUUCGUCCUCCUCCACCUCCCAGGGUUCCAUACGCCGCCGCCUCCGGGCAGACCACAUACGCCGACGUCGAGGUCCGAGAGGAGAGGGCCGCCGGACCGUCUUCCUCCUCCACAGACCUCCGAGGCGCCCUACUCGUGGGAAGACGCCGCCGCCGCCUUGCGAGACCCCAAGGCAGGGCAGGGCGCGGUCGCGUUGCGGGCAGCGAGGAGCGGCGCGCCGGCGCCGGCGCAUGUGACAAGUACUCUGCCGCCGCCGGGCCGCGGCGACCACGAACGUGGAGCUGCUGAAGCGGUUUUGGCCAUUGGUCGUGUGGUCGUUCUUCAUAAUACUGAGAAGGCCGCGCCGGAGAUCCUCCACUUCAAACCGGACCUCGUCUCCCGUACUGAGGAGACGUUCGAUGACUUCACGGAUAACGGCAUAGACGAUCUGGUGGUCUCGCUGUACCAGAUGGAGCUCGACCGCACGCUCUUCCUGCUCUGCUCCUACCUACGCCUCCGCCUCAAGAGCAGUGAUGCGCCAAGAGUUGGAGGCUGCAAGGAGAUCAUGGAGAACCAUCUCGAGCAGCCGGAUGACGUGGGUAUUCCACUUGAUCUUGAAAUUAACAUCACUUCUUUGUCACGGGCGUUGCCUCCACCAUGCGCUCGGCCUACCUCCUGCGCCACCUGUCGGGCUCGUCCUCCCGCUGUACCUCUCCUCGACCAUCUGGCCCGCCUCUGCACAUGCAUCACCACGCACCCCAAUGGCGCUCGUGCCUUCGAGUACGUCUUGUUACUACCUCACCUCCACCCUCCUUCAGAUGAUAGGUCCCUCGGCAUUCGUGGGGGUGUUCGCAGCGUCGGGCUUGAUCAACGAGUUGACGGAGUCCUCCGGCGUGACGCACCUGCUGUAGAAGUUGGCGUUCAAGGACACAGGGCACCAGAGCCACUUGCAGAUCGUGCAGGAGGUGGAGGCCACGGGGCGUCCAGUUUUUUCUAUGGAAGCAUUGAUUCAGUUGUAGUGAUAUGGCCUCCAUUUUCUCGAGUAUGCCGCAGGCUAUGUCGUGCUCUCUUCGAUCACGCCUCCUACAUGCCCCUCAUGGUCGCACAUGCUGCUACCUUCCUUGACGGCCUCUUCGUCACCAAGAAACCGAGGCUCCACGAUGAUGCCCUCAAGAGGGGAAUAAUACAACACCUGACCAUCACCGAGACAGAGGAGACAGUCAAGGGUUUUCACCCGGAGCCCUGGCUCGGUAAGAGGGCCACGACGAUGCCCCCAGGUUGGACGCGACAUGGACAUACACUGUCGUCACUGGUGCUGGAGCACAAGGCUUUCGGCUGGCUACUCUCACCCACGCCACACCGAGUAGUCUUGAGCACCCGUCCACCCCGACGGAAGGCAUGCCACCGCCAAACAAGACCUCUAGAGAAUGAUCUAGGAAUCGCCACUAACGAGGCGCCACCGACACUAGGAUCAACCAACGCUACAUACUCUGCCACCCACACGACUAGAAGAUGCCUCCAUCAUCGCCGCCUAGGCGCCUGCUAA
RNAcentral lists this ribosomal RNA (2175 nucleotides) under Triticum aestivum (bread wheat). RNAcentral's name for it is "partial small subunit ribosomal RNA". The record is from RNAcentral. Lineage: Eukaryota; Viridiplantae; Streptophyta; Magnoliopsida; Poales; Poaceae.